Molecule: non-coding RNA, 221 nt
Organism: Paraglaciecola psychrophila 170
Lineage: Bacteria; Pseudomonadati; Pseudomonadota; Gammaproteobacteria; Alteromonadales; Alteromonadaceae
Source: Rfam
CAAGUCUUCUACUGGUAAGGUAAGCACACCGCCAAGACCCUGCAUUGUAAGGUGUCGUGCUAAGCGAUGACAGGUUAAACCAUAGGCCGAGUAUUGAGCUGCGAAAUCUACACUUAAGCGUGCUGACCUUGUUGGGUGAAGGGGAAGGCAAUACGACCAAUUGAUGAAAUGCCAUAAACGGCAGUGCUAGUAAUUGGUUGGCGCUUCGCAGUCAUAUACCU